AAAUGAAUUGACGGGGGCCCGCACAAGCAGUGGAGCAUGUGGUUUAAUUCGAAGCAACGCGAAGAACCUUACCAGGGCUUGACAUCCCGCUGCCGGGCGCAGAGAUGUGCCUUUCCCUUAUGGGACAGCGGAGACAGGUGGUGCAUGGUUGUCGUCAGCUCGUGUCGUGAGAUGUUGGGUUAAGUCCCGCAACGAGCGCAACCCUUGUCCUUAGUUGCCAGCACGUUUUGGGUGGGCACUCUAAGGAGACUGCCGGCGAGAAGUCGGAGGAAGGUGGGGAUGACGUCAAAUCAUCAUGCCCCUUAUGUCCUGGGCUACACACGUGCUACAAUGGCUGGUACAAAGGGUCGCGAACCCGCGAGGGGGAGCCAAUCCCAAAAAGCCAGUCUCAGUUCGGAUUGCAGGCUGCAACUCGCCUGCAUGAAGCCGGAAUUGCUAGUAAUCGCGGAUCAGCAUGCCGCGGUGAAUACGUUCCCGGGCCUUGUACACACCGCCCGU
This 498-nucleotide ribosomal RNA is filed under the name uncultured bacterium. RNAcentral describes it as "bacterial SSU rRNA". It matches the Rfam family "Bacterial small subunit ribosomal RNA", at positions 903 to 1397 of the family's 1533-position model. The record is from RNAcentral.